GUCGAACGCUUCUUUUUCCACCGGAGCUUGCUCCACCGGAAAAAGAGGAGUGGCGAACGGGUGAGUAACACGUGGGUAACCUGCCCAUCAGAAGGGGAUAACACUUGGAAACAGGUGCUAAUACCGUAUAACAAUCGAAACCGCAUGGUUUUGAUUUGAAAGGCGCUUUCGGGUGUCGCUGAUGGAUGGACCCGCGGUGCAUUAGCUAGUUGGUGAGGUAACGGCUCACCAAGGCGACGAUGCAUAGCCGACCUGAGAGGGUGAUCGGCCACAUUGGGACUGAGACACGGCCCAAACUCCUACGGGAGGCAGCAGUAGGGAAUCUUCGGCAAUGGACGAAAGUCUGACCGAGCAACGCCGCGUGAGUGAAGAAGGUUUUCGGAUCGUAAAACUCUGUUGUUAGAGAAGAACAAGGAUGAGAGUAACUGUUCAUCCCUUGACGGUAUCUAACCAGAAAGCCACGGCUAACUACGUGCCAGCAGCCGCGGUAAUACGUAGGUGGCAAGCGUUGU
RNAcentral lists this ribosomal RNA (512 nucleotides) under Lactiplantibacillus plantarum. RNAcentral describes it as "bacterial SSU rRNA". It matches the Rfam family "Bacterial small subunit ribosomal RNA", at positions 61 to 544 of the family's 1533-position model. The record is from RNAcentral. Lineage: Bacteria; Bacillati; Bacillota; Bacilli; Lactobacillales; Lactobacillaceae.